This is a non-coding RNA of Mycena vulgaris, 87 nucleotides long. Lineage: Eukaryota; Fungi; Basidiomycota; Agaricomycetes; Agaricales; Mycenaceae. The record is from the annotation of a GenBank genome assembly.
UCAGACAUGGUGUGGUGGGAACACCUCUCUCAUUAAUCGGAAUUUGAUCAUAAGAGGUAAUCCAGGGUUCGAAUCCUUGUGUCUCUG